Molecule: long non-coding RNA, 229 nt
Filed under: Carica papaya (papaya)
Lineage: Eukaryota; Viridiplantae; Streptophyta; Magnoliopsida; Brassicales; Caricaceae
Description: long non-coding RNA (CPAP_LNC005303)
Source: RNAcentral
CAUUAUGCUCUAUUUGACUUUUUAAAACCAAUUUUGACCAAACCGUUCACCCAAGGCAGGUUCGGUCACUUUUAAACUGACUGUUCUCAAGAAUUUUUACCUACUCUUCUUAUUUUUGCACUCCUCAUCGAAAUUGCACUUCAAUAUUAUGAAAAAAAUUUGUAAAAAUGUUGAAUCUUUUCUUGAAAGAAAAAGAAAUAAUAUUAAGAAGAAGAAGGAUGAGUUAAAA